RNAcentral lists this ribosomal RNA (180 nucleotides) under uncultured bacterium. RNAcentral's name for it is "partial 16S ribosomal RNA". It matches the Rfam family "Bacterial small subunit ribosomal RNA", at positions 1313 to 1500 of the family's 1533-position model. The record is from RNAcentral.
CGACUCCAUGAAGCUGGAUUCGCUAGUAAUCGCGCAUCAGCCACGGCGCGGUGAAUACGUUCCCGGGCCUUGUACACACCGCCCGUCAAGCCAUGGAAGCCGGGAGUGCCUGAAGUGCGUGACCGCAAGGAGCGUCCUAAGGCAAUACCGGUGACUGGGGCUAAGUCGUAACAAGGUAUC